ACCAGACUCCUACGGGAGGCAGCAGUGGGGAAUAUUGCGCAAUGGGCGAAAGCCUGACGCAGCGACGCCGCGUGAAGGAAGAAGGCUUUCGGGUUGUAAACUUCUUUUCUCAGGGACGAAGCAAGUGACGGUACCUGAGGAAUAAGCCACGGCUAACUACGUGCCAGCAGCCGCGGUAAUACGUAGGUGGCAAGCGUUAUCCGGAUUUACUGGGUGUAAAGGGCGUGUAGGCGGGAAAGCAAGUCAGAUGUGAAAACCAUGGGCUCAACCUGUGGCCUGCAUUUGAAACUGUUUUUCUUGAGUACUGGAGAGGCAGACGGAAUUCCUAGUGUAGCGGUGAAAUGCGUAGAUAUUAGGAGGAACACCAGUGGCGAAGGCGGUCUGCUGGACAGCAACUGACGCUGAGGCGCGAAAGCGUGGGGAGCAAACAGGAUUAGAUACCCGCGUACGA
RNAcentral lists this ribosomal RNA (451 nucleotides) under uncultured bacterium. RNAcentral describes it as "bacterial SSU rRNA". It matches the Rfam family "Bacterial small subunit ribosomal RNA", at positions 330 to 794 of the family's 1533-position model. The record is from RNAcentral.